Molecule: long non-coding RNA, 1234 nt
Organism: Ictalurus punctatus (channel catfish)
Lineage: Eukaryota; Metazoa; Chordata; Actinopteri; Siluriformes; Ictaluridae
Exons: 3
Source: RefSeq, a predicted model, not a curated record
UGUGGGUGUGUCUUUCUCUAUCUUUUAGGAAAUCAGUAGGUUGUUUUGCAUCUGGUAGUUGAGAGAACUCUGACACUGGGUUCUUUCACUUGCCUACAAUGGCCUGGUUUUUUGUUGCUAAUUCUUUUUAAAAAGAAAAGCUUUUUUAAAAUUGGUUUAUUGGUAAAAUGCCUGCGGUGCAUUCAUCUCCUGUUUGGAUCUACUUUUUGCCCGACUUGCUACAAGGACUUUACUCAGAGGGAAACAUCUUGGAACUUAACCACUUGUUCAGAGGAGAUUAUCUAAUAUGCUAUAAAAUGUCUGCAGAGCCUGUAUACAGUGGAGGAGCUGUAUGAGACAGGAUUUGCUCAUACAGCUCAGUUUCCACAAAGACAUGGCCUCAAAUUGCUGUUCUGGUUUCUAGAUCACAUCAGACUUUUUGACUACAAUCUUGAUGAACUCUGGAGGAAGCAUAAAACAAACUUUGGUUUUCACAUCUUCGAGAACCGAGAGCAACUCCUGCCUGAUGAUGGCCUCAUCUAUUACACGUUGGGAAAUCUAAACAGAGCUGGAGCAGAAAACCUGCCUGAAGACAUCCGGGUAUAUUACACUGGCCAGCGUGAUACCAGUAACAUGGAUCGUGUUAUAGUCGGAGUGGAUGAUGAUGGGCGUGUUCGUGAAGUUUAUAUAACUGCACACUAUAAACAAAAUGAAACGUACCACAUCAGUGAGAGCCUCUGGAUGAAUAUCAGCCACCAGCUCAGAGAAACCUUACGACCAUGAAUGACGUAUUUCAAAACUUCUGAAUCCUCCAGUAAGCAGCAUUGGGGCCAUUAUCCACAAGUGGAAGCAACAUCACUCUGUCGUCAACCGGCCACGCACAGGAAGAUUUCUAACCAGGGAGUCAGAAGAAUAGUCAGAAGAGUAGCCCAAGAGCCAAGGACCACUCGGAAAAAGCUCCAGAAACACUUGGAGGUAGCAGGUGCCGUCGUCACAGAGAAAACAAUAGACAAUGCACUCCACUGCUCACGCACAUCCCACAAGACUUGUAUCGAUAUUGCUUUGGCAAUGUGUUAACAGUUGAUUGAAGGUGUUAGAUCAUAAUAAUUCAGGAAAACUCUGUAAAAUAAGUGUUGCUCUGCAAAACGGUUAAUGAAAAUUUAUGCAAAUGUAUUGUUUUUGCAAAUUAUAUUAAUUAUUAUGGUAUUUAACUUUAAUUUCACAGUUUUUGUUUGGCAGCCAUUGCUGCCAGUGA